This 454-nucleotide ribosomal RNA is filed under the name uncultured bacterium. RNAcentral's name for it is "partial 16S ribosomal RNA". It matches the Rfam family "Bacterial small subunit ribosomal RNA", at positions 341 to 792 of the family's 1533-position model. The record is from RNAcentral.
ACGGAAGGCAGCAGUGAGGAAUAUUGGUCAAUGGGCGGGAGCCUGAACCAGCCAAGUAGCGUGAGGGAUGACGGCCCUAUGGGUUGUAAACUUCUUUUGACAGGGAAUAAAGUGAGCCACGUGUGGUUCAUUGCAUGUACCUGUGGAAUACGGAUCGGCUAACUCCGUGCCAGCAGCCGCAGUAAUACGGAGGAUCCGAGCGUUAUCCGGAUUUAUUGGGUUUAAAGGGAGCGUAGGCGGGAUGUCAAGUCAGCUGUGAAAUGUAGUCGCUCAACGUCUGCACUGCAGUUGAAACUGGUGUUCUUGAGUGCGUAAGAGGCAGGUGGAAUUCGUCGUGUAGCGGUGAAAUGCAUAGAUAUGACGAAGAACUCCGAUUGCGAAGGCAGCCUGCUGGGCCGCUACUGACGCUGAAGCUCGAAGGUGCGGGUAUCAAACAGGAUUAGAUACCCUGGUA